Molecule: long non-coding RNA, 1792 nt
Organism: Colossoma macropomum (tambaqui)
Lineage: Eukaryota; Metazoa; Chordata; Actinopteri; Characiformes; Serrasalmidae
Exons: 3
Source: RefSeq, a predicted model, not a curated record
AGUCAGCCUUCUUAUACCUGGACUAAUGUAACUACAACUACUGGACAAUCGUGAGUUGCUCACCAUUAAAUUGGCAUUAGAGGAAUGGCACCAUUAGUUAGAGGGGGCAAACCAUUCUUUUACGGUGCUGACAUGUCAUUGGAAUCUGGAUUACCUUCACAAAUCAAAGAGACUAAAUUCCAGAGAAGCAAGACAAACAGGAUAUGAUGUAAUUCCUUCAGCCCUGAUUUGACAAUACAGAGAUGCUCCAAAGUGAAUCCAGCUGAGAGGUUAGCUACGCCUGAAGAAGGCUGAUGCUGGCUACUGACAUCUAAGAAGUUGGGUUCAAGACACCAGUUGCCUCUUUGGGGUUGAGAGCUGAGACUGGAAUGGUCCAAUUGUGGCUUUUUGCGCUUAUUGACUUUCUUGGGACACCUGGUAUGUGGGACUUAAAGAGCCUGUAUAGUAGCUCUGAGGAGCUUUAUAACCAGGAAGACCCGGAUUUGCCGUGCCUUAUGCAGCUAUGCUCACCUGCAGCUGGGUUCACAGACAGGCCUGUGUGUACCUACUGACCCAGUGAAGAGAGGGGCAAGUUGACCUUGAAAGGUAGAGCAGACUGGUAAAAACCUGUUGAAGCCAGUUUUGAGGAGUGAGCUCAUCAUGCGAUGGCCAAAUUGAUGGACGAAGAGAUGCACCUAUUAGAGAAUGAGCUAAUAUCAAAAUUUGAGAAGUAAGGUGGGGGGAUAUCAAACUACCCCAGAUAAAUGGUAUAUAAAGUGUUGUUUGGAACACUGUAUUUGCGCAGUUGGGUGUCUCGAGACCCUGUGCCACCUGAUGCUGAAAUAAAGAAGAAGCCUUUUUCUCCCUUCCACAAGAACUCAGUGGCUUUUAUUAAGGCUUUUAUUCUACUUUCUUUAUUUUUGAUUGAAUACCCUUUUUGUUUUUGUUUAUUUUAUUUUUGUUUAUCUUUCGUAAGUGAUUAAGACAAUAAUUAGAACAAAACCACAGCACAAAAUAGUUUAGAUUUUAAAACCAUCAUAUGUCGGGGUUUGGGCAAGGAAGAAAAUAGCUGUUGGUCCUGACACCACCUCUGCCAAAAGUCAGUUUGUGAAAUUUCUGUCUGCUAGAUCUGUCCCAGUCAACAGUAAGUGCUACUAUUAUGAAAUGGAAGCACCUAGGAGUAAAAACAGCUUAGCCACAAAGCGGUAGACCAGGCAAACUCACAGAGUGGGGCCACAGAGUGCUGAAGCGCACAGUGCCUAUACUCUGUUGAAUCACUCACCAAAGAGUUCCAUAUUUCUUCUGGAAGCAAUAUCAGCAAAAGAACUGCGAGUUAGAAGCUUUACAAAAUGGGUUUCCAUGGCUGAGCAGCUUCACACAAGUCUAAGAUUAAAAUGCGCAGUGCACCGGGGGGAGAGUGGUGUAAAGCACGUCGCCACUGGACUCUGAAGCAGUGAAAACAUAAUCUGUUGAGUGAUGAAUCACACUGCUGUAUCUGGCAGUCUGAUGGACGAGUCUGGGUUUGGCGAGUGCCAGGAGAACACUACAUGUACACUACAUACUUUAGCACAGUUCAAAUGUGUUUUUAAAGUUCAGUUUGGCAGCGCAGACUAGUAUACUUAAAUUAUACCCUAAGAGUGCCAAAAAUAGCACAUGACUAGUAUACCUAGUAUACAUAAAGCAUGACCUACAUAUAUAUCAAGUACACAUUAGCUGUUCCAGUGUAGUACUUACUGCAUAACUUAAGCAUGUUAUUUUGUUAAAACUACUUUAGUAUACUUUUUUUCCCCCAUAAGGGUAUAUUUACAGAUUU